This 253-nucleotide ribosomal RNA is filed under the name uncultured bacterium. RNAcentral's name for it is "partial 16S ribosomal RNA". It matches the Rfam family "Bacterial small subunit ribosomal RNA", at positions 524 to 776 of the family's 1533-position model. The record is from RNAcentral.
GACGAGCCUCACGAACGUUAUUCGGAAUCACUGGGCUUAAAGGGUGCGUAGGCGGUGUGGAAAGUCGGAUGUGAAAUACCUCAGCUUAACUGAGGAACUGCACUCGAUACUUCCAUGCUAGAGUAAGACAGAGGUGAGUGGAACUGAGGGUGGAGCGGUGAAAUGCGUUGAUAUCCUCAGGAACACCGGUGGCGAAGGCGACUCACUGGGUCUUUACUGACGCUGAUGCACGAAAGCUAGGGUAGCAAACGGG